RNAcentral lists this ribosomal RNA (468 nucleotides) under uncultured bacterium. RNAcentral's name for it is "partial 16S ribosomal RNA". It matches the Rfam family "Bacterial small subunit ribosomal RNA", at positions 28 to 507 of the family's 1533-position model. The record is from RNAcentral.
GACGAACGCUGGCGGCGUGCUUAACACAUGCAAGUCGAACGGAAAGGCCCUGCUCUUGUGGCGUGCUCGAUUGGCGAACGGGUGAGUAACACGUGUGUAACCUGCCCCUGACUUUGGGAUAACUUCAGGAAACUGGGGCUCAUACCGGAUAGGAGCUCCUGCUGCAUGGUGGUGGUUGGAGAGUUUCGGCGGUUGGGGAUGGACUCGCGGCUUAUCAGCUUGUUGGUGAGGUAGUGGCUUACCAAGGCUUUGACGGGUAGCCGGCCUGAGAGGGUGACCGGCCACAUGGGGACUGAGAGACGGACCAGACGCGUACGGGAGGCAGUAGUCGGGAGUAUUGCGGAGCGGCCGCAAGCGUGAGACAGCAACGUCCGGUGCGUAAUGACGGCUUUCGGGUUGUAAACCACUUUGGCCGGUGACGAAGAGGGAGUGACGGUAAUGGGUAAGGAAGCACCGGCUAACUACGUG